RNAcentral lists this ribosomal RNA (468 nucleotides) under uncultured bacterium. RNAcentral's name for it is "partial 16S ribosomal RNA". It matches the Rfam family "Bacterial small subunit ribosomal RNA", at positions 28 to 507 of the family's 1533-position model. The record is from RNAcentral.
GACGAACGCUGGCGGCGUGCUUAACACAUGCAAGUCGAACGGAAAGGCCCUGCUUUUGUGGGGUGCUCGAGUGGCGAACGGGUGAGUAACACGUGAGUAACCUGCCCUUGACUUUGGGAUAACUUCAGGAAACUGGGGCUAAUACCGGAUAGGAGCUCCUGCUGCAUGGUGGGGGUUGGAAAGUUUCGGCGGUUGGGGAUGGACUCGCGGCUUAUCAGCUUGUUGGUGGGGUAGUGGCUUACCAAGGCUUUGACGGGUAGCCGGCCUGAGAGGGUGACCGGCCACAUUGGGACUGGGAUACGGCGCAGACUCCUACGGGAGGCAGCAGUGGGGAGUAUUGCACAAUGGGCGGAAGCCUGAUGCAGCGACGCCGCGUGCGGGAUGACGGCCUUCGGGUUGUAAACCGCUUUCGCCUGUGACGAAGCGUGAGUGACGGUAAUGGGUAAAGAAGCACCGGCUAACUACGUG